This 885-nucleotide long non-coding RNA is filed under the name Olea europaea subsp. europaea. The record is from RNAcentral. Lineage: Eukaryota; Viridiplantae; Streptophyta; Magnoliopsida; Lamiales; Oleaceae.
ACAAUUAAAAUAAUUACAUCCAAAAAGAAAAAAAACUUGCCCUACGCACGCCACCCCAACCCUCCCAGCCCGUCUUCAACUCAUCACAAAAUCAAAUUAACCUAAAACCCACAACACUCAUCACCUCCUACUUCAAAUUUGUACGAAUAUUUCUGAAAUUUAAGUCUACCAAUCUUUGAUUUCCAGAAAAUCAACGAUAAAUUCAUGGACUCCUUUUUUUUUUAUAUGGUUGGACAGCGAAGAAAUCAUGGAAGAAAUUGUCAGAAAAAAAAUUGAAUGAAAAGAUGAUGCUGAAAUACUUUGAUAUUGAUUUUAUAAUUGGUACUAGUAGAAAUAAUUAAAGUGUGGGUUGCUAUGGAAUUUAUUGCGACUAAUGUGGAAUUGGUGAAACUGAAUCUGGGUUUGAAGUUUCUUUAUUUUUGUCUACAAAUUUUGGCUUGUAUAUUUUCAGAUCUGGGAUUUGUUUGUUAAAAAAUUGGUGUUUUUCCCUUAAAAGUUUAGUUUUUAGCUCAGUUCAAAGGCUACCUCUUUUCCUCUUCCUGUCAUUGCUGCCCAGUAAUUUUUCUUGUACAGUUGUACAUAUGUAUAUGGAUUCGAAUGUGUAUGUGCUGGUGUUUUUAUUUUGCAGAUUAUGUAGUGAUAUAUGGAUGACUUUGAUUAUAUGGUUCAUUGCGGGUUCGAUUUGGUAGGAGAUGGCAGGAAAAAGGAAGAACGGGCGAAGAAGGUGAUACGUAUAUGGUCAUCGAAGCUGUGGGUUUGGUGAGUUUUCUGGUAGAUUUGACUUGAGGUAGUGGGUGGGGCGGUUUUCUUGUCUCGUUUAUUAUUAUUAUUAUUUAUUUUUUUGUAAUUUCAAGUUCAAUAAAAUACAGAUAAUAUUCAAGUUGG